CAGUCGCCGCGGGAAUACGUAGGGUGCGAGCGUUAAUCGGAAUUACUGGGCGUAAAGCGUGCGCAGGCGGUUCGGAAAGAGAGAUGUGAAAUCCCAGGGCUUAACCUUGGAACUGCAUUUUUAACUACCGGACUAGAGUGUGUCAGAGGGAGGUGGAAUUCCGCGUGUAGCAGUGAAAUGCGUAGAGAUGCGGAGGAACACCGAUGGCGAAGGCAGCCUCCUGGGAUAACACUGACGCUCAUGCACGAAAGCGUGGGGAGCAAACAGGAUUAGAUACCCCGUAGUCCCUGUCUCUUAUACC
This 301-nucleotide ribosomal RNA is filed under the name uncultured bacterium. RNAcentral describes it as "partial 16S ribosomal RNA". It matches the Rfam family "Bacterial small subunit ribosomal RNA", at positions 509 to 808 of the family's 1533-position model. The record is from RNAcentral.